GGGGGGAUACCAGAGCGGCCAAAUGGGACGGACUGUAAAUCCGUUGGCGCAAGCCUACGCAGGUUCGAAUCCUGCUCCCCCCA
Molecule: transfer RNA, 83 nt
Filed under: Fulvivirga sediminis
Lineage: Bacteria; Pseudomonadati; Bacteroidota; Cytophagia; Cytophagales; Fulvivirgaceae
Also listed under: 2 other names
Rfam family: tRNA
About the family: Transfer RNA (tRNA) molecules are approximately 80 nucleotides in length.
Source: Rfam by way of RNAcentral